AAUAUCUUUCAUGGUGCCUCUACAACAGAUUUUGAAUUUGAUCUAAUCAAAUCUGGUUCUAUGGGUUCACUAGAUUGUGUCAGUUCUUCUAUCUAUCGAACAAUAUAAGUUUCAUAUUAAAGGCAUCAGUACCUUCAUCAAGGUAUUUUUUUUCUGAAAAAAAUACCGAACAACUUUUAUUCUUUAGCAUGGUAGAAGUUAUAUCCCCUAUAUUCUUUGGUUAUCCUACAAAAUAAUAUAUAUAGGAUCGAAAUCUAAGCUAAU
Molecule: long non-coding RNA, 264 nt
Filed under: Elaeis guineensis (African oil palm)
Lineage: Eukaryota; Viridiplantae; Streptophyta; Magnoliopsida; Arecales; Arecaceae
Description: long non-coding RNA (EGUI_LNC058329)
Source: RNAcentral